This 396-nucleotide ribosomal RNA is filed under the name uncultured bacterium. Its description in RNAcentral is "partial 16S ribosomal RNA". It matches the Rfam family "Bacterial small subunit ribosomal RNA", at positions 523 to 918 of the family's 1533-position model. The record is from RNAcentral.
AUACGUAGGUGACAAGCGUUAUCCGGAUUUACUGGGUGUAAAGGGCGUGUAGGCGGAGAUGCAAGUCAGGAGUGAAAUCUAGGGGCUCAACCCCUAAACUGCUUUUGAAACUGUAUCCCUUGAGUAUCGGAGAGGCAGGCGGAAUUCCUAGUGUAGCGGUGAAAUGCGUAGAUAUUAGGAGGAACACCGGUGGCGAAGGCGGCUUGCUGGGCUUGUACUGACGCUGAGGCUCGAAAGCGUGGGUAGCAAACAGGAUUAGAUACCCUGGUAGUCCACGCUGUAAACGAUGAUUACUAGGUGUGGGGGGACUGACCCCUUCCGUGCCGCAGUUAACACAAUAAGUAAUCCACCUGGGGAGUACGGCCGCAAGGUUGAAACUCAAAUGAAUUGACGGGG